Molecule: ribosomal RNA, 406 nt
Filed under: uncultured bacterium
Lineage: Bacteria
Description: partial 16S ribosomal RNA
Rfam family: Bacterial small subunit ribosomal RNA
Source: RNAcentral
AUUGAACGCUGGCGGCAGGCUUAACACAUGCAAGUCGAGCGAGCGGCGGACGGGUGAGAAAUGUCUGGGAAACUGCCUGAUGGAGGGGGAUAACUACUGGCAACGGUAGCUAAUACCGCAUACCAUCAGAUGUGCCCAGAUGGGAUGAGCUAGUAGGGGGGGUAAUGGCUCACCUAGGAGACGAUCCCUAGCUGGUCUGAGAGUAUGACCAGCCACACGGGAGCUGAGACACGGACCAAACUCCGACGGGAGGCAGCAGUGGGGAAUAUUGCACAAUGGGCGGAAGCCUGAUGCAGCCAUGCCGCGUGUGUGAAGAAGGCCUUCGGGUUGUAAAGCACUUUCAUCGAGGAGGCGGUACUCGAAGAAGAAGCACCGGCUAACUCCGUGCCAGCAGCCGCGGUAAUUC